RNAcentral lists this ribosomal RNA (518 nucleotides) under Noegus cf. fuscomanus WPM-2015. RNAcentral describes it as "partial 16S ribosomal RNA". The stretch from base 134 to 428 matches the Rfam family "Bacterial large subunit ribosomal RNA", at positions 2074 to 2646 of the family's 2925-position model. The record is from RNAcentral. Lineage: Eukaryota; Metazoa; Arthropoda; Arachnida; Araneae; Salticidae.
AGCCGCAAUACGUGCUAAGGUAGCAUAAUCAUUUGUCCUUUAAAUGGGGACUAGAACAAACGAUUCAAUUUUUUAAUUAAUAUCUCUAAUAUAUAACAAACUUUUCUUAAAUGUAAAAAGACAUUUAUUUUAAAGAAAGACGACAAGACCCUAUUGAACUUAACUUGAGUUAAACUGGGGUAGUAAAUUAAUUAUUAUUUUAAUAUUAAACUAUUAAUAUAUAACUAUAUUAUAUAAUAAAUUCAGUUACCAUAGGGAUAACAGCGUAAUUAAAUUUUAGAGUUCUCAUCUAAAAAAUAGAUUACAACCUCGAUGUUGAAUUAAUAACCUUUUUUAAGAAAAUUUUUAAAAAGGAAGCCUGUUCGGCUUUUAAAAAAUUACAUGAUUUGAGUUCAAACCGGUGCAAGCCAGGUUGGUUUCUAUCUUCUAAAAAAUUUUUUACAGUACGAAAGGACCUAAUAAUAUUUAUUAUCUUUUAGCAAAAAAAUGCAUUAGAAUUAGAAUCUAAAUAAUCUACA